ACGGGAGGCAGCAGUGAGGAAUAUUGGUCAAUGGAGGCAACUCUGAACCAGCCAUCUCGCGUGAAGGAAUACGGCCCUACGGGUCUUAAACUUCUUUUAUAGGGGGAUAAGGUGAGAUAUGCACAUCUUUUUGUAGGUACCCUAUGAAUAAGCAUCGGCUAACUCCGUGCCAGCAGCCGCGGUAAUACGGAGGAUGCGAGCGUUAUCCGGAUUUAUUGGGUUUAAAGGGUGCGCAGGCGGCACGUUAAGUCAGCGGUGAAAUGUCGGGGCUCAACCCGGGCGCUGCAGUUGAAACUGGCGAGCUUGAGUACGGAUGAGGUCGGCGGAAUGUGAUGUGUAGCGGUGAAAUGCUUAGAUAUGUCACAGAACACCGAUUGCGAAGGCAGCUGACUAAUCCGCAACUGACGCUCAGGCACGAAAGCGUGGGGAGCAAACAGGAUUAGAUACCCUGGUA
This 454-nucleotide ribosomal RNA is filed under the name uncultured Porphyromonas sp. Its description in RNAcentral is "partial 16S ribosomal RNA". It matches the Rfam family "Bacterial small subunit ribosomal RNA", at positions 341 to 792 of the family's 1533-position model. The record is from RNAcentral. Lineage: Bacteria; Pseudomonadati; Bacteroidota; Bacteroidia; Bacteroidales; Porphyromonadaceae.